AACGAACGCUGGCGGCAUGCCUAACACAUGCAAGUCGAACGAGACCUUCGGGUCUAGUGGCGCACGGGUGCGUAACGCGUGGGAACCUGCCCUUAGGUUCGGAAUAACUCCCCGAAAGGGGUGCUAAUACCGGAUAAUGUCUUCGGACCAAAGAUUUAUCGCCUUUGGAUGGGCCCGCGUUGGAUUAGCUAGUUGGUAGGGUAAAAGCCUACCAAGGCGACGAUCCAGAGCUGGUCUGAGAGGAUGAUCAGCCACACUGGGACUGAGACACGGCCCAGACUCCUACGGGAGGCAGCAGUGGGGAAUAUUGGACAAUGGGCGAAAGCCUGAUCCAGCAAUGCCGCGUGAGUGGUGAAGGCCUUAGGGUUGUAAAGCUCUUUUACCCGGGAUGAUAAUGACAGUACCGGGAGAAUAAGCGCCGGCUAACUCCGUG
Molecule: ribosomal RNA, 433 nt
Filed under: uncultured bacterium
Lineage: Bacteria
Description: partial 16S ribosomal RNA
Rfam family: Bacterial small subunit ribosomal RNA
Source: RNAcentral